Molecule: non-coding RNA, 277 nt
Organism: Momordica charantia (bitter melon)
Lineage: Eukaryota; Viridiplantae; Streptophyta; Magnoliopsida; Cucurbitales; Cucurbitaceae
Source: RefSeq, a predicted model, not a curated record
CGCGCCAAAGUUAGCGUUUCUGAUUGCUCCGGCGAGAAGUAUGAUGUAUUAGGGUUCGAAAUUUUUGGUGGCCCACGAUGCUGUAGGCAAUUGCAGAGUUUUGAAGACGAUUACGUGUUGGCAGUGGUUUCUGUUGAAGCGUGAAUUAAGUAGCUACCUAAACAAUCUUUAUCGUGUUUUGCAUAAGCAUGUCAACGGUUUCAAAACAUGUAGCAGUGGUUUGCUUCUAUCAGCUCUUCCGUUUCAGAUCCACAAAGUCGAAAGAAAAUACAAAAGA